RNAcentral lists this transfer RNA (65 nucleotides) under Friesea propria. RNAcentral describes it as "tRNA-Phe". The record is from RNAcentral. Lineage: Eukaryota; Metazoa; Arthropoda; Collembola; Poduromorpha; Neanuridae.
AUCUUUAUAGCUUAAUUAUAGAGCGUAGUGUUGAAGCCACUAAAGUAGGCUUAGCCUUGAAGAUG